Molecule: ribosomal RNA, 253 nt
Filed under: uncultured bacterium
Lineage: Bacteria
Description: partial 16S ribosomal RNA
Rfam family: Bacterial small subunit ribosomal RNA
Source: RNAcentral
UACGAAGGGGGCUAGCGUUGCUCGGAAUCACUGGGCGUAAAGGGUGCGUAGGCGGGUCUUUAAGUCGGGGGUGAAAUCCUGGAGCUCAACUCCAGAACUGCCUUCGAUACUGGAAGACUUGAGUCCGGGAGAGGUGAGUGGAACUGCGAGUGUAGAGGUGAAAUUCGUAGAUAUUCGCAAGAACACCAGUGGCGAAGGCGGCUCACUGGCCCGGUACUGACGCUGAGGUGCGAAAGCGUGGGGAGCAAACAGG